Molecule: ribosomal RNA, 615 nt
Filed under: uncultured bacterium
Lineage: Bacteria
Also listed under: 1 other name
Description: bacterial SSU rRNA
Rfam family: Bacterial small subunit ribosomal RNA
Source: RNAcentral
AUUUCCCGCCGAAAGGCGGUUUCCUCCCGCGUAUAUGCCCCGGAGGCAUCUCUGGAUCAGGAAAACUUCGGUGGAGAAGGAUGGGCAUGCGGCGCAUUAGCUAGUUGGCGGGGUAACGGCCCACCAAGGCGACGAUGCGUAGGGGUUCUGAGAGGAAGGUCCCCCACACUGGUACUGAUACACGGACCAGACUCCUACGGGAGGCAGCAGUGAGGAAUAUUGGUCAAUGGUCGGGAGACUGAACCAGCCAAGCCGCGCGAAGGAAGACGGCGCUCAGCGUUGUAAACUUCUUUUGUCAGGGAACAAAAGGCGUCACGUGUGACGCUCUGAGUGUACCUGAAGAAAAAGCAUCGGCUAACUCCGUGCCAGCAGCCGCGGUAAUACGGAGGAUGCGAGCGUUAUCCGGAUUUAUUGGGUUUAAAGGGUGCGUAGGCGGCAUGUUAAGUCGGCGGUAAAAGCCCGGGGCUCAACCCCGGCGAGCCGUUGAAACUGGCGUGCUAGAGACGGCGAGAGGUAUGCGGAAUGCGCAGUGUAGCGGUGAAAUGCAUAGAUAUUGCGCAGAACUCCGACUGCGAAGGCAGCAUACUGGCGCCGGACUGACGCUGAGGCACGAAA